AGGAGAUGACGGUGCGUCGGCAGUGGUUGCCCCGAGGGAGAGGAAAAUGUGUCCCUAUACCAUAUCCCCUCGAGGUGGUGGUAGGUUUGGGCUGUCUGUAAAGCGUUAUACAAUGCUAGGGGCUUAGGGAGGUAUUUAGAAAAAUAAACCGGGUUUUCUAAAGUAUCGGUGUCUAUUUUUAGGAUUUUUUUUAAAAGUACUACCUAUUUGGUAUCAAAAUAGAAAAGCAUUUGUCAAAACUGAAAAUAACCAAUACUAGCACCCCG
This 266-nucleotide long non-coding RNA is filed under the name Hordeum vulgare. RNAcentral describes it as "long non-coding RNA (HVUL_LNC019077)". Lineage: Eukaryota; Viridiplantae; Streptophyta; Magnoliopsida; Poales; Poaceae. The record is from RNAcentral.